GAUGAACGCUGGCGGCGUGCCUAAUACAUGCAAGUCGAGCGAACAGACGAGGAGCUUGCUCCUCUGACGUUAGCGGCGGACGGGUGAGUAACACGUGGAUAACCUACCUAUAAGACUGGGAUAACUUCGGGAAACCGGAGCUAAUACCGGAUAAUAUAUUGAACCGCAUGGUUCAAUAGUGAAAGACGGUUUUGCUGUCACUUAUAGAUGGAUCCGCGCCGCAUUAGCUAGUUGGUAAGGUAACGGCUUACCAAGGCAACGAUGCGUAGCCGACCUGAGAGGGUGAUCGGCCCCCCUGGAACUGGGACACGGUCCAGACUCCUACGGGAGGCAGCAGUAGGGAAUCUUCCGCAAUGGGCGAAAGCUUGACGGAGCAACGCCGCGUGAGUGAUGAAGGUCUUCGGAUCGUAAAACUCUGUUAUUAGGGAAGAACAAAUGUGUAAGUAACUAUGCACGUCUUGACGGUACCUAAUCAGAAAGCCACGGCUAACUACGUG
This 497-nucleotide ribosomal RNA is filed under the name uncultured bacterium. RNAcentral describes it as "partial 16S ribosomal RNA". It matches the Rfam family "Bacterial small subunit ribosomal RNA", at positions 28 to 507 of the family's 1533-position model. The record is from RNAcentral.